This is a long non-coding RNA of Hyalella azteca, 264 nucleotides long. RefSeq lists it as uncharacterized. Lineage: Eukaryota; Metazoa; Arthropoda; Malacostraca; Amphipoda; Hyalellidae. The transcript is spliced from 3 exons. The record is from RefSeq and is a predicted model, not a curated record.
GUUUAAGAACGAAGUGUCAGCUAGUCAGCUCAAAAGGAUAGCUGCAAGUAAAAUGGAAUUCAAUCACAACGGCUCGCGGUUGGUGCGUAUCAUCAACAACGAGGUUGAGGUGGUAGACCCGCGGACGCAACGAGUUGUUCAAUCCCUCAGCAAUGGAACAAAUUUUCAGUUCACGGAGGUCGACCACGAACUGAUCCUCGAAUCCUGGAGAACUGAUGCACACCACUCAGAGUUACAGCUUCGGGAUUUACGGUUCCCGUCCUC